RNAcentral lists this unclassified non-coding RNA (255 nucleotides) under Hevea brasiliensis (rubber tree). The record is from RNAcentral. Lineage: Eukaryota; Viridiplantae; Streptophyta; Magnoliopsida; Malpighiales; Euphorbiaceae.
AAAAAAUAGAGCAUAAAACUUCUAGUCUGCAAUGUAAGAACAUUCUGUAUCAUAACAUCAAGUCUUCUUUGUGUCAGAUAAGCAACUUUAGAAAUAAUAAUAAAAAUAAAAAUCAGGUCACAAUUAACCCUCUAUAUGAUUCACCUCCAAACUUAUCUAUCAGCCAUUAAGAUAGAUAACUACAGACCAGUCACACUCAAUUAGGACCCCAUGCCGGUUUUCAUGUUCAUUUCUGGGUGCUAAACAUUAUUAUUA